GCUAUACAUGCAGUCGAACGAACUCUGGUAUUGAUUGGUGCUUGCAUCAUGAUUUAGCAUUUGAGUGAGUGGCGAACUGGUGAGUAACACGUGGGAAACCUGCCCAGAAGCGGGGGAUAACACCUGGAAACAGAUGCUAAUACCGCAUAACAACUUGGACCGCAUGGUCCGAGUUUGAAAGAUGGCUUCGGCUAUCACUUUUGGAUGGUCCCGCGGCGUAUUAGCUAGAUGGUGGGGUAACGGCUCACCAUGGCAAUGAUACGUAGCCGACCUGAGAGGGUAAUCGGCCACAUUGGGACUGAGACACGGCCCAAACUCCUACGGGAGGCAGCAGUAGGGAAUCUUCCACAAUGGACGAAAGUCUGAUGGAGCAACGCCGCGUGAGUGAAGAAGGGUUUCGGCUCGUAAAACUCUGUUGUUAAAGAAGAACAUAUCUGAGAGUAACUGUUCAGGUAUUGACGGUAUUUAACCAGAAAGCCACGGCUAACUACGUGCCAGCAGCCGCGGUAAUACGUAGGUGGCAAGCGUUGUCCGGAUUUAUUGGGCGUAAAGCGAGCGCAGGCGGUUUUUUAAGUCUGAUGUGAAAGCCUUCGGCUCAACCGAAGAAGUGCAUCGGAAACUGGGAAACUUGAGUGCAGAAGAGGACAGUGGAACUCCAUGUGUAGCGGUGAAAUGCGUAGAUAUAUGGAAGAACACCAGUGGCGAAGGCGGCUGUCUGGUCUGUAACUGACGCUGAGGCUCGAAAGUAUGGGUAGCAAACAGGAUUAGAUACCCUGGUAGUCCAUACCGUAAACGAUGAAUGCUAAGUGUUGGAGGGUUUCCGCCCUUCAGUGCUGCAGCUAACGCAUUAAGCAUUCCGCCUGGGGAGUACGGCCGCAAGGCUGAAACUCAAAGGAAUUGACGGGGGCCCGCACAAGCGGUGGAGCAUGUGGUUUAAUUCGAAGCUACGCGAAGAACCUUACCAGGUCUUGACAUACUAUGCAAAUCUAAGAGAUUAGACGUUCCCUUCGGGGACAUGGAUACAGGUGGUGCAUGGUUG
RNAcentral lists this ribosomal RNA (1039 nucleotides) under Lactiplantibacillus plantarum. RNAcentral's name for it is "bacterial SSU rRNA". It matches the Rfam family "Bacterial small subunit ribosomal RNA", at positions 48 to 1051 of the family's 1533-position model. The record is from RNAcentral. Lineage: Bacteria; Bacillati; Bacillota; Bacilli; Lactobacillales; Lactobacillaceae.